GACGAACGCUGGCGGCGUGCCUAAUACAUGCAAGUAGAACGCUGAAGAGAGGAACUUACUCUUCUUGGAUGAGUUGCGAACGGGUGAGUAACGCGUAGGUAACCUGCCUUGUAGCGGGGGAUAACUAUUGGAAACGAUAGCUAAUACCGCAUAACAAUGGAUGACACAUGUCAUUUAUUUGAAAGGGGCAAUUGCUCCACUACAAGAUGGACCUGCGUUGUAUUAGCUAGUAGGUGAGGUAAUGGCUCACCUAGGCGACGAUACAUAGCCGACCUGAGAGGGUGGUCGGCCACACUGGGACUGAGACACGGCCCAGACUCCUACGGGAGGCAGCAGGAGGGAAUCUUCGGCAAUGGGGGCAACCCUGACCGAGCAACGCCGCGUGAGUGAAGAAGGUUUUCGGAUCGUAAAGCUCGGUUGUAAGUCAAGAACGGGUGUGAGAGUGGAAAGUUCACACUGUGACGGUAGCUUACCAGAAAGGGACGGCUAACUACGUG
Molecule: ribosomal RNA, 497 nt
Filed under: uncultured bacterium
Lineage: Bacteria
Description: partial 16S ribosomal RNA
Rfam family: Bacterial small subunit ribosomal RNA
Source: RNAcentral